UGGGGAAUUUUCCGCAAUGGGCGAAAGCCUGACGGAGCAAGACCGCGUGGGGGAGGAAAGCCUUUGGGUUGUAAACCCCUUUUCUCAGGGAAGAAGAAAGUGACGGUACCUGAGGAAUCAGCCUCGGCUAACUCCGUGCCAGCAGCCGCGGUAAUACGGAGGGUCCAAGCGUUGUCCGGAAUCACUGGGUGUAAAGGGUGCGCAGGCGGGCGUGUAAGUCAGGGGUGAAAGCCACCGGCCUAACCGGUGAACUGCCCUUGAUACUGCACGUCUUGAGUCCCGGAGAGGCUAUCGGAAUUCGUGGUGUAGCGGUGAAAUGCGUAAAUAUCACGAGGAACACCUGAUGCGUAGGCGGAUAGCUGGACGGGUACUGACGCUCAGGCACGAAAGCGUGGGGAGCGAACAGGAUUAGAUACCCGCGUAGUCC
This 427-nucleotide ribosomal RNA is filed under the name uncultured prokaryote. RNAcentral describes it as "bacterial SSU rRNA". It matches the Rfam family "Bacterial small subunit ribosomal RNA", at positions 355 to 796 of the family's 1533-position model. The record is from RNAcentral.